This 575-nucleotide long non-coding RNA is filed under the name Populus trichocarpa (black cottonwood). Its description in RNAcentral is "long non-coding RNA (PTRI_LNC000220)". Lineage: Eukaryota; Viridiplantae; Streptophyta; Magnoliopsida; Malpighiales; Salicaceae. The record is from RNAcentral.
AAAGAUAGAAGGGUUGAGAAGGUUCAUUAUAGUAUAAAUAGACAUACACAUCUACACACCUCACACAUAAUAACAUCCCAACAAAAAAGACCUCAAAACAAAAAAAGAAAAAAGAAAAAAGAAAAAAAGAAAGGUCAAAACUCGUGAGCUCUCAGAAUAAUAAAAACCACUAAAAUAUAGAAUCCAUAUAAAGACUAGCCACCAUCCCCCAUCAUGAGUAGCAUUGCCACUAGCCACGAAUGACAGCAGCAACACUAUGUAGCAACUUUUAAUUCCACCGUGAAUGGCAGCAAGAGAGUUUCCACCUUUGCAAGGAACUUCUUCCAUAACCAACACUGUGACAGACACUCUUCAUCCCCAACACAACACUUGACAACAACCAUUGUCACCUCCUAACACCAGCUGUAGCACCAUCUUCUUUAUAUUGUUCAUUCUCCAUAUCAACAACAAUCAUUGAUUCCUCCACUGCCAUCGUGAACUCAUUCCAUAGUCAACACCAACACCAAUAAUUGUGACAUAAAACCUGUAGAGAGAAGAAUUAAAGAAGAAUAAAGGUUACAAUAGAGAGAGAGAGA